This 73-nucleotide transfer RNA is filed under the name Stegodyphus mimosarum. It matches the Rfam family "tRNA". From Rfam's summary of the family: Transfer RNA (tRNA) molecules are approximately 80 nucleotides in length. Their secondary structure includes four short double-helical elements and three loops (D, anti-codon, and T loops). Lineage: Eukaryota; Metazoa; Arthropoda; Arachnida; Araneae; Eresidae. The record is from Rfam by way of RNAcentral.
ACCUUCGUGGUGUAGUGGUCAGCACGCUCGACGCAUAACCGAGAGGUCCGUGGUUCGAUUCCCGGCGAAGGCG